Molecule: long non-coding RNA, 2052 nt
Organism: Lathyrus oleraceus (garden pea)
Lineage: Eukaryota; Viridiplantae; Streptophyta; Magnoliopsida; Fabales; Fabaceae
Exons: 9
Source: RefSeq, a predicted model, not a curated record
AAUAAAAUAAAAAAAAAGAAAAGGAAAAGGUAAGGACAACGAAACUCAGUUCUCAAAACCUCACGCACGAAAUCUCUCUUCUCUCAAUCGCUACCAGCAAGCUCUCUCCAUCGCCCUCAAUGAAAUCGCUCCCUCAUCGCUCUCUCAAUCUCCAAUCUCACUCAAUCGCUCACUCCAUCGCUCUCAAUGUCUCUCUCUCGCCCAAACAUCAUGAAAGUUUGAAAGGAAGCUCACUUCGGUGAAUCGGUAGCUCAGGGUUUCGAAUUGGUACCUUGGGUUCCAAAAGAGUAUCUCUGUAAAACCCUUUUGAUGCUCAGAAAUUGGGUUGUCCUGUUUAUGCUAGAUUCGAAAAGUGAAUUUCUUGUAACAGGGAAGUUGUGGAUGAGGUUGAGGUUCAAGAAGGUUCUGCCGUUGCAUUGUGGAGAAUGAGGAACUAGCCACAUAGUAUAAGCGUGCUAGUAACAAGAAACCAUCCCGCGAUUGCCAGGAUAUACACAAGGACCUGCAUUCCGAAAACUGAGAACAGAAAUCCAAGAAUGUCAAAACUAGCAUAACUGCGGCUAUUAUGAUGAGCGUCAUCCUCACAGACUCUAAUAGAUCUUGAAUGUUGUCUGAAUUCUCCUUUUGAUUUUUCCUUUGGCUUUGGGGUAUUGACUGUCGUGAUUUGGUUUGAUCUUUGCAGGUUAUGGCUGGUGUGAACGGUUAUGGACCGGGGGCACAAUUGAAACAGGACGGGUACAUCUCGCUGCAAGAUGACCAAGACCUUGUUAAGCCAGCGGCACCAAUGAAAUUCCACACAUGCAUCAUGCUGUAAAAUACAUAUGUACCGGCAGGGUUAUCAAAUUAGACGAACCAGCCACCGUCUUAUUUUGCACCAUUUGGAACCAAAUCUCUCAGCUCCUUAAUUCGAUCUUGGAUCAGUUGCCUGUCUCUUGGCCGAGGUCUGCAACUUUCUCCGGGUCUAGCCCUCUUCUUGCUGUUCUUAGAUGGUUCAGAUGACCGUUAGAGUUGCUCACUACAAGCACUGGGAUGCCGUGAGAUAUGCAGAUGUCGGUGACAUUGCUAAUACCAUCAAAGAACGGGGCAUGAACAACAGGCUUGCCGAGCGUAUUCAAAAAUUCCUGAAGAGACUGGUUGAUGAUCAUGGAAGCAUUGACCUCGAGUGGCUGAGAGACGUUCCACAGAGAGUAUUUGCUGAGCGUAAGAGGACUGGGAUUGAAAAGUGUGGAGUAUGUGCGCCUGUUAACACUGGAUGAGAAAAGCUGAUAUCAUUGUCCGUUAUAGGUACCCAGUGUUGGAGUCCAUACAAAAGUAUCUCUGGUCUCGAUUGUGCAAGAUUUGGAAAGGCCUUCUGCACAAAAAGCAAACCAAAUUGCAAUGCAUGCCUAAGUGUUUUGCACAAGGUUGGUUUCCCGGUGCGCCGGCUAAUGAACAGACUCUUUUGCAAGGUAGCAUUGUAGCAGAAAUACUCCAGCCUGAACUUCGGGCUGCGGCGGCUAGAAGAAAUGCAGAAUUGUCAUGGCUUUGAGAUGCAGGGAACAACAUUUGGAGGAGGUUCCACGUUGUGAUUAGCAAAUAGUUUGCCGGCUUUUUCAUCAUCAUUUUUGCAGGAGGACAUGUGGAGAUUCCUCCAGGUCGUCGACAAAACAUGGAUCAGCACUAGCCUGUACGUGCCAAAACUCAGACAUGGACAUUCAUUACUGCUGUGGAUUGUUGUGAAGUUUGAAAGAUUCAUCCAGUUUGGAAUAAGGUCCACGAGAGGCGAAUCAAUGUUGAAGAAGGUGAAAUGCAGGUUUUGCUAUCUGAUCUUUCGAUUUCACUUUCACAUCUAAGAGUUGAUUGUUUUCUGAUAAACUCAACGCCUUCCCCGUAUACAAAUUCUCAUCUUGAAAAGCCGCAAGACUUUUCUGUAGCUGCAGCGCCUGAAUCUUUAACUCUAAUAACUGCUGUCGAACUCGCUUUGCAGACUCUUGGAAAUCUUGCAAUUUUUCAUCCAUAAUAAAGAAAACCUCUGUCAAAUGUUUCGGAAUCUAAAAUGCCAGACAACAGAUC